GGUUAAGCGACUAAGCGUACACGGUGGAUGCCCUGGCAGUCAGAGGCGAUGAAGGGCGUGCUAAUCUGCGAUAAGCGCCGGUAAGGUGAUAUGAACCGUUAUAACCGGCGAUACCCGAAUGGGGAAACCCAGUGUGAUUCGUCACACUAUCAUUAACUGAAUCCAUAGGUUAAUGAGGCGAACCGGGGGAACUGAAACAUCUAAGUACCCCGAGGAAAAGAAAUCAACCGAGAUUCCCCCAGUAGCGGCGAGCGAACGGGGAGGAGCCCAGAGCCUGAAUCAGCAUGUGUGUUAGUGGAAGCGUCUGGAAAGGCGCGCGAUACAGGGUGACAGCCCCGUACACAAAAGCGCAUGUGCUGUGAGCUCGAUGAGUAGGGCGGGACACGUGGUAUCCUGUCUGAAUAUGGGGGGACCAUCCUCCAAGGCUAAAUACUCCUGACUGACCGAUAGUGAACCAGUACCGUGAGGGAAAGGCGAAAAGAACCCCGGCGAGGGGAGUGAAAAAGAACCUGAAACCGUGUACGUACAAGCAGUGGGAGCACAGGUUUACCUGUGUGACUGCGUACCUUUUGUAUAAUGGGUCAGCGACUUAUAUUCUGUAGCAAGGUUAACCGUAUAGGGGAGCCGGAGGGAAACCGAGUCUUAAUUGGGCGUUAAGUUGCAGGGUAUAGACCCGAAACCCGGUGAUCUAGCCAUGGGCAGGUUGAAGGUUGGGUAACACUAACUGGAGGACCGAACCGACUAAUGUUGAAAAAUUAGCGGAUGACCUGUGGCUGGGGGUGAAAGGCCAAUCAAACCGGGAGAUAGCUGGUUCUCCCCGAAAGCUAUUUAGGUAGCGCCUCGUGAAUUCAUCUCCGGGGGUAGAGCACUGUUUCGGCUAGGGGGCCAUCCCGGCUUACCAACCCGAUGCAAACUGCGAAUACCGGAGAAUGUUAUCACGGGAGACACACGGCGGGUGCUAACGUCCGUCGUGAAGAGGGAAACAACCCAGACCGCCAGCUAAGGUCCCAAAGUCAUGGUUAAGUGGGAAACGAUGUGGGAAGGCCCAGACAGCCAGGAUGUUGGCUUAGAAGCAGCCAUCAUUUAAAGAAAGCGUAAUAGCUCACUGGUCGAGUCGGCCUGCGCGGAAGAUGUAACGGGGCUAAACCAUGCACCGAAGCUGCGGCAGCGAACGUAUCACCCAAGACAACUUUACGGAGUUGACGAUUGACGGAGCGAAGCGACGUCAAAGCGUUCAUUAAAGUCGAGUUGGCUUAGGGAUACGUUCGUUGGGUAGGGGAGCGUUCUGUAAGCCUGUGAAGGUGUGUCGUGAGGCAUGCUGGAGGUAUCAGAAGUGCGAAUGCUGACAUAAGUAACGAUAAAGCGGGUGAAAAGCCCGCUCGCCGGAAGACCAAGGGUUCCUGUCCAACGUUAAUCGGGGCAGGGUGAGUCGACCCCUAAGGCGAGGCCGAAAGGCGUAGUCGAUGGGAAACGGGUUAAUAUUCCCGUACUUGGUGUUACUGCGAAGGGGGGACGGAGAAGGCUAUGUUGGCCGGGCGACGGUUGUCCCGGUUUAAGCGUGUAGGUGUGUGUUCCAGGUAAAUCCGGUUCACUUUAACACUGAGGCGUGACGACGAGGCACUACGGUGCUGAAGCAACAAAUGCCCUGCUUCCAGGAAAAGCCUCUAAGCAUCAGGUAACAUCAAAUCGUACCCCAAACCGACACAGGUGGUCAGGUAGAGAAUACCAAGGCGCUUGAGAGAACUCGGGUGAAGGAACUAGGCAAAAUGGUGCCGUAACUUCGGGAGAAGGCACGCUGACACGUAGGUGAAGUGAUUUACUCAUGGAGCUGAAGUCAGUCGAAGAUACCAGCUGGCUGCAACUGUUUAUUAAAAACACAGCACUGUGCAAACACGAAAGUGGACGUAUACGGUGUGACGCCUGCCCGGUGCCGGAAGGUUAAUUGAUGGGGUCAGCGCAAGCGAAGCUCCUGAUCGAAGCCCCGGUAAACGGCGGCCGUAACUAUAACGGUCCUAAGGUAGCGAAAUUCCUUGUCGGGUAAGUUCCGACCUGCACGAAUGGCGUAAUGAUGGCCAGGCUGUCUCCACCCGAGACUCAGUGAAAUUGAACUCGCUGUGAAGAUGCAGUGUACCCGCGGCAAGACGGAAAGACCCCGUGAACCUUUACUAUAGCUUGACACUGAACAUUGAGCCUUGAUGUGUAGGAUAGGUGGGAGGCUUUGAAGUGUGGACGCCAGUCUGCAUGGAGCCGACCUUGAAAUACCACCCUUUAAUGUUUGAUGUUCUAACGUGGACCCGUAAUCCGGGUUGCGGACAGUGUCUGGUGGGUAGUUUGACUGGGGCGGUCUCCUCCUAAAGAGUAACGGAGGAGCACGAAGGUUGGCUAAUCCUGGUCGGACAUCAGGAGGUUAGUGCAAUGGCAUAAGCCAGCUUGACUGCGAGCGUGACGGCGCGAGCAGGUGCGAAAGCAGGUCAUAGUGAUCCGGUGGUUCUGAAUGGAAGGGCCAUCGCUCAACGGAUAAAAGGUACUCCGGGGAUAACAGGCUGAUACCGCCCAAGAGUUCAUAUCGACGGCGGUGUUUGGCACCUCGAUGUCGGCUCAUCACAUCCUGGGGCUGAAGUAGGUCCCAAGGGUAUGGCUGUUCGCCAUUUAAAGUGGUACGCGAGCUGGGUUUAGAACGUCGUGAGACAGUUCGGUCCCUAUCUGCCGUGGGCGCUGGAGAACUGAGGGGGGCUGCUCCUAGUACGAGAGGACCGGAGUGGACGCAUCACUGGUGUUCGGGUUGUCAUGCCAAUGGCACUGCCCGGUAGCUAAAUGCGGAAGAGAUAAGUGCUGAAAGCAUCUAAGCACGAAACUUGCCCCGAGAUGAGUUCUCCCUGAGACUUAGAGUCUCCUGAAGGAACGUUGAAGACGACGACGUUGAUAGGCCGGGUGUGUAAGCGCAGCGAUGCGUUGAGCUAACCGGUACUAAUGAACCGUGAGGCUUAACCUU
This 2992-nucleotide ribosomal RNA is filed under the name Salmonella enterica subsp. enterica. Its description in RNAcentral is "23S ribosomal RNA". It matches the Rfam family "Bacterial large subunit ribosomal RNA". Lineage: Bacteria; Pseudomonadati; Pseudomonadota; Gammaproteobacteria; Enterobacterales; Enterobacteriaceae. RNAcentral also lists the same sequence under 2 other names. The record is from RNAcentral.